AAGGGUAUAGCUCAGAGGUAGAGUGUGUGCUUAGCAUGCACGAGGUCCUGGAUUCAAUCCCCAGUACCAAUG
This 72-nucleotide transfer RNA is filed under the name Camelus ferus (Wild Bactrian camel). It matches the Rfam family "tRNA". From Rfam's summary of the family: Transfer RNA (tRNA) molecules are approximately 80 nucleotides in length. Their secondary structure includes four short double-helical elements and three loops (D, anti-codon, and T loops). The record is from Rfam by way of RNAcentral. Lineage: Eukaryota; Metazoa; Chordata; Mammalia; Artiodactyla; Camelidae.